ACUCCUACGGGAGGCAGCAGUGGGAAUAUUGCACAAUGGGCGCAAGCCUGAUGCAGCCAUGCCGCGUGUAUGAAGAAGGCCUUCGGUUGUAAAUGUACUUCAGCAGUGAGGAAGGUGGAUAUGUUAAUAGCAUACUCAUUUGACGUUAGCUGCAGAAGAAGCACCGGCUAACUCCGUGCCAGCAGCCGCGGUAAUACGGAGGGUGCGAGCGUUAAUCGGAA
Molecule: ribosomal RNA, 221 nt
Filed under: uncultured bacterium
Lineage: Bacteria
Description: partial 16S ribosomal RNA
Rfam family: Bacterial small subunit ribosomal RNA
Source: RNAcentral